RNAcentral lists this long non-coding RNA (924 nucleotides) under Sus scrofa (pig). RNAcentral's name for it is "lncRNA (ENSSSCG00040063563.1)". Lineage: Eukaryota; Metazoa; Chordata; Mammalia; Artiodactyla; Suidae. The record is from RNAcentral.
GCGUCGGUCCCGGGGUGCGGUGUUUGCAAGAGCCUGUGUGUGUGUGUCAUGCCUUUGCUUUGCGUCCUCGUCCUCUGUCUGGGCGCCUUUGGCGGCCGGGCCGGGCCGGGCCGGGCCGGGCCGGAGAGGGUGUUCCCUCCGGGAGACGGAAUGUAUCAGGCGGCGGAGGAGCACCUACCUGUGUGUGUUUUCGUCCUGCGGGAAGCCAGCAGAGGACAGGUGGCCUUCAGGAGUUAGGAGCGCUUGAAGGCGCACGGAAAUCUCACUUCAGGCCCUGGGCUUGUCACACGUGGGUCUGCUAAAAGGUCAGAGUGAUGCAGAAUGCGUGCCUUCAUCUCAGAUUUUGUUCAUCGCAGGUGGAUCCCCUGUGUCUUCAGUAGACAAGUCACCUUUGUAGCACCAGUGCCAGCUCCAUGCCAUUGCACCUUCUUUAGUCUUGAUUGCCCUUCCCGCAUUUAUUGGUGUAUUAAAAUGACUGAAUAUGAACAUUAAGGACGCCAUGAACCUGGGCUAAUGGGAGACUGUAGAGAAAAUGAAAAAAGAUCCACCGGAGGACAUCUUUGGGGGGGAGGGAGCUUGGGAGGAGGGAGAUGACUAAUGAAGCUAAUUAAAAGAAGCAUUCAAAUCUGCUUUCUACCCUCAUUAACAAUUAGCAGGGCACUGGCCAGAGUUGGCACCCUGCGUUUUACCUUUCCAACAUUCUCUUUGCUCUUUGUAUAUUUAAGUGUCGUAAGGAAAUGUGUUUCAAUCAAAACUGAACAUGAGAUAAAGGAAAGAUGUGGCUUUUGUGAUAUUCUAUCACAAACACUUUUAUUGUAUCUCUCUGUAAAAUACAAUGUAUGUAUAUGCAUGUAAGUGUUUUUGUCCUGAUGUUGCUACUCCCAUGGCAAAGGAAAAAAAAAGAAUGAAAAAAAGAAAAAAAAA